This is a long non-coding RNA of Synchiropus splendidus (mandarinfish), 2927 nucleotides long. RefSeq lists it as uncharacterized. The transcript has 4 exons. NCBI's taxonomy places the organism in Eukaryota, Metazoa, Chordata, Actinopteri, Syngnathiformes, Callionymidae. The record is from RefSeq and is a predicted model, not a curated record.
UAUUCCACGCUAUCCACGCAAACGAACUCAAUUCUGGCUGUUUUAGAAAUGUUUGUUUAAUACCAUUCUCGCUCUGUUUUUAUAACGUAUUGCAAUUUGAAAACUUUGGAUGGAAUUAAAGCGGAAACUUUGACGUUUCACUGAAGUUGACGCGACGUAAAUAGCGACACACACCCGCGCGCGACCACCGCCUCACCUGUAUAUCUUGUAUCUGGUGUUGAAGCCCUGCUGGUAUCUCUCCGCCGCCUCGGUGAACUCUAAACACUGGUGGAACGGACCUUUAUCGGAGAGGAGCCAGCCCAGAGAGCCGGAGGGAGCUUCGCCGGUCGCCACCGCGGAGCUCCAGCAGCAGCAGAGCCAGAGGCAGAGAGCCGCCCUCUUCCAUCCCAGAGACAGCCGCUUAUGACUGGAUCUCUGGCCGCUCAUGCUUCACCCAGCGACUCCUCAUUCUCUCCGGACUGGGAGCAUAACGAUAGAUCAUUAUUCAACAAAGCCCCUCAAGAAAAUAUACUCUUGUUUUUUUGUUUUUUUUUAAUCCUGAAAUUUGGUCUCACGUACCUGUUCUGGACCGAAUCGUGUUGUUGUGCUUUUGAAGAAAGUGAACUCCGGCGAUCCGUUCAAACAAGUCUCCAGUUUGAUUCCUCAAAGUCAGUCAGCGAAUUACAAAGCAAUCUUUUGGUUUGACUUGUUCAACUUUUAAGCAGACGAGCAAAUCCUGUACCAUCCCAGCCGAGGCUCAUUUCUUCAGCGGAUUCUCCACAAAGAAUCCGUGGAAAUGCAGCGUCCCCAGCUGCUGCAGCUGUUCUCCCCUCUUCGCUGGGUUGGUGAAUGAGCUGCUUCCACGCAGAGACCCCCCACCACCGCCUCCAUCCCUCCUCCCCUUCAUCUAAAAGAGAGCUAGGAAGAGGGCGAUCAAGUACAUCAUGAUGGAGGAACUGACAACUGAACAUUGACUUCACGUCCGCCCAGUCAGCACCAGAUCUGGGCACAGUGUGGCCCGGGGGCCGGAGACAUACCUGUGAAGGGCCGCCUGUGGCCCCCAGGAGGUGCCACGAGCCGAAACGGUACCUUCUUGCUGCAAGCCUGCAGGACUAUCCAGAGUGCAGAACCCCUUGACCACCUGGGAGCGUGGAGACCUUGAGAGUGGGUGUUUCCAAUCUAUUUAUCGCCUGAAUUGAUGGAGAAAAAAAGUUAUCCAAAUCAUGCGUCCAUAACUUUUCAAGUUAUUUUGAAGUCAAAACAAACAAACCAAUGCUGCUGACAACAUCAACUCCUUGGAGGAGGUGCAAAUACUAUAACAUUCAGAUGAUCUCAGUUAUAACACAUUAUUUAAAAGGUAAAUUAAAAAACAAAAAUACAAUAUUCAUGUUUCCUUGAUUGUUUUGUUUGAUGCUGCACGUCCUGCUUUGAUCUCCAUAUUUUCAGAUUCACGGUGGCAUUUGUUUUAAUGGUUUAUUUAUUUUUUAACAAUCUGCUUUGUUUUUUAAUGUCUCAUGAAUGGAUUUAUGAUUUAUAGAUGUGUUUUCCUUCACGUUAAUGUUUCAUUUGUCCUCCUGAGAGAGAUAAAUAACAUCAUCCUCCCUGCUGUCACGUUCCAGCUCUAACUCCCGUUCGUCACUCCAUCGUGCUUGAAGAUUGAAGUGCGGUGUAAAAGUCCACACGUCAAAUUGAAUAUUUAUUUUCGUGCACUUUGUAAAUGCUCUUCGUGUCUGUCCGUAUUCAUUAUUUAGCCUUAAACGGAAUCUCUUCCAUUAAGCGUGGAAGUGUAUGUUUAUCGGCCCGAUCUGUGCGGGUAAAGGGGGAGUCGGCGUGUUUGCUCAAGGGGGCCAUAUUUAUUUGUCUUACACAACACACACAUGACUCGGUGCCAUGUACGAGUGUGAGUUUUAUCACCAUCUGCUCUGCCAUCUCACAGAGAUAUAAAACAUGGCAGCAGCCCUCAUACAUAUAAAUACAAGCUCAUCACGUAUUCCGGCGACGCAGGAUUAUGGGCUAGCUGUGCCGCCCCUCAGGUGAAUUCUGCCUCGACUCAUGCCUCUGCCCAUUUGAUGCUAAUUCAGGGACUAUCCUGACUCAAGUGUGAACAUGAACUCCAUUCGUCACAAGCUCUGAAGCCAAAACUAAACUUCUCCAAAAGCGUGUGUGUCGGAUUGGUCCGGUGCCACCUACCAAGUUUUCUCUUUUGACCCACUUUCCCUGAUAUUCCUGGGUGUUUUUUUUUUUUUUUUUUUAUAUGAUUUUGAAGUAGGUCAUUGACUCUUGCCAUCAUCAGAAUUCCAAAUUCAUUCAUUUUAUUCCCCAUUUUUUUAAAUAAAUGAAUCUCCACAAUGCAUUAAAGAAUAUUUUUGACCCACAAACAAGGUGCUGGUGAAGUGAGAUAAAAACUUGGAGAAAGGUGUGGCACUGACGUGACCGAUGCAGGGGGCGCUGUGAUGGAUUGACGUGGGUGCAAUAACAAGGUCUUGUGUGUCGUGUUUUCUCAAUAACGCUCUGCUCUGUCACAGCAUGCACUCAAGUGGACUUGACGGCAGAUAAAUGACGAAUGGCGCCAUGAAGCUGAAGGGCAAAACCGCCAUUACUCAUCGCGAUAAUUUAGCAUUUUGACAAUGAUAUCAAUCAGAUGCUCAAGCAAUAAAAAAUUGGGACACGGAAUCAAGAGUUGCAUUAAAAUCAGCUUUCAAUGAGGCAAAGUUCUGCCGGCAUACUGGUGAUAUUCACACCUGACGUGUUAGAACUCAUAAAAGCAACCACCUCAGACACUUUUAUCGUUUUGGGAGGAAGUGAGACAGAAGUGCUGUUAGAACCGCCGCUUGUUUUGUCAAGCUCAAAGCGCGGGUGAUUUAUCUAGCGCCAGAAAGUGUUUUUAUGUGGCCCACUAGAGCUUGAAAUGGCUUAAAAUGAGAUUAUAUAAGUGAACCAAAAACCUA